Molecule: ribosomal RNA, 553 nt
Filed under: uncultured Ostreobium
Lineage: Eukaryota; Viridiplantae; Chlorophyta; Ulvophyceae; Bryopsidales; Ostreobiaceae
Description: SSU rRNA
Rfam family: Bacterial small subunit ribosomal RNA
Source: RNAcentral
GUCUGGUGCCAGCAGCCGCGGUAAUACGGAAGAUGCAAGCGUUAUUCGGAAUUAUUGGGCGUAAAGCGUCUGUAGGUGGCUUUUUAAGUCUAUUGUUAAAUGUCAAGGCUUAACCUUGAAAAAGCGGUAUGAAACUAAAAAGCUUGAGUUUAGUAGAGGUAAAGGGAAUUCUCGGUGUAGUGGUGAAAUGCGUAGAUAUCGGGAAGAACACCUGUAGCGAAAGCGCUUUACUGGGCUAAAACUGACACUGAGAGACGAAAGCUAGGGGAGCGAAUAGGAUUAGAUACCCUAGUAGUCCUAGCUGUAAACGAUGGAUACUAAGUGUUGGACUACAAAAAGUUCAGUGCUGCAGCUAACGCGUUAAGUAUCCCGCCUGGGAAGUAUGCUCGCAAGAGUAAAACUCAAAGGAAUUGACGGGGGCCCGCACAAGCGGUGGAGCAUGUGGUUUAAUUCGAUGCAACGCGAAAAACCUUACCAGGGUUUGACAUUCCAUAAAUCUAUUUAGAAAUAUAUAGAAUUAAAUAUGGUAACAGGUGGUGCAUGGCCGUUCUUA